GGGUCAGUAGCCUGGUCGUGCCACCGGUACGUACUGGUCUCACUGAUUCCUCCUUCCUGAAGAACCGUAAUGCCAUUAAUUUGGUGUUGCGGGGAAACAGGACUGUUACUUUGAAAAAAUUAGAGUGUUUAAAGCAAGCUAACGCUUGAAUACAUUAGCAUGGAAUAAUGAAAUAGGACGAUCGAUCCUAUUUUGUUGGCUUCUAGGAUUGACGUA
Molecule: ribosomal RNA, 216 nt
Filed under: Glomeromycotina sp.
Lineage: Eukaryota; Fungi; Glomeromycota
Description: partial small subunit ribosomal RNA
Rfam family: Eukaryotic small subunit ribosomal RNA (bases 40-216)
Source: RNAcentral